AUGGCGGGCAUCUCCGGCAGCGGUAGUGACCUGCAGGAAAAAGGCGACAACGAGAGUGUUCAAUUCGAUCCAUCACCAUGGAUCGGUCCCUGCAGGAGAGAGAAGAUGAGGAAGAGAGAGAGAGAAGGAAGGAGAGGAGGGAGAAAGAGAGAGGGAGGUACGAUGGUGAAUGCACUGGACUCUUCAAGAUCAAGGGCACCAACAGCAAAGGCCGAGUGCAUCCAUCGACAGCAUGCCCAAUGUCCGGAUUCACUGAGCAGUACAACCGGAGACGUUGUAGGCUGCCUGCAGGUCUGGAAACCAGACAACAUCUCUGAAACCCACUAUCUUCUUAUGCAUGAAUUUCUGCUCAGUUUGGCUACAUCUAAUUUGUUAUCGUUAAUCCUAUUCCAUAACGCAAAGUUGCAAACAUCCUGUUUUUUCAUCGAGAGGAAGAACAUUAAGAAUUUUCGCACAUUCUGUUGUAGCAAUAUUGACUGUAUGAAUACCAGUAAUGUGUUUGGCAGUUUGUUCUUGUGGCUUCCAAAAAACCUGGAAUGUUUGUUCUGCUGGUACAACUCUCUUUGGCUAGGACAUUUUGGCUUCAAAUAA
This 591-nucleotide ribosomal RNA is filed under the name Triticum aestivum (bread wheat). RNAcentral describes it as "partial small subunit ribosomal RNA". The record is from RNAcentral. Lineage: Eukaryota; Viridiplantae; Streptophyta; Magnoliopsida; Poales; Poaceae.